This 501-nucleotide ribosomal RNA is filed under the name uncultured bacterium. RNAcentral's name for it is "partial 16S ribosomal RNA". It matches the Rfam family "Bacterial small subunit ribosomal RNA", at positions 30 to 523 of the family's 1533-position model. The record is from RNAcentral.
AUUGAACGCUGGCGGCAGGCUUAACACAUGCAAGUCGAGCGGGGGAAGGUAGCUUGCUACCGGACCUAGCGGCGGACGGGUGAGUAAUGCUUAGGAAUCUGCCUAUUAGUGGGGGACAACAUCUCGAAAGGGAUGCUAAUACCGCAUACGUCCUACGGGAGAAAGCAGGGGAUCUUCGGACCGUGCGCUAAUAGAUGAGCCUAAGUCGGAUUAGCUAGUUGGUGGGGUAAAGGCCUACCAAGGCGACGAUCUGUAGCGGGUCUGAGAGGAUGGUCCGCCACAAUGGGACUGAGACACGGCCCAGACUCCUACGGGAGGCAGCAGUGGGGAAUAUUGGACAAUGGGGGGAACCCUGAUCCAGCCAUGCCGCGUGUGUGAAGAAGGCCUUAUAGUUGUAAAGCACUUUAAGCGAGGAGGAGGCUACUCUAGUUAAUACCUAGGGAUAGUGGACGUUACUCGCAGAAUAAGCACCGGCUAACUCUGUGCCAGCCGCCGCGGUAA